UGAUGAGGAUGAACUCAUGGGAGGUAAGUUCAGAUUUCAUCUAAAGCGUCAAUCUUGUACUUAGUUUUUGGGUAUGUUACAAAUUUUUGUUGUAACUUCCCCUGUCUAUUUGAUGUUCAUGAGAAGCCAGAGUAAAUUGCUCUUUCUAUAAAAUGUAUUAAUUUCUUAAUCAUGUCAUUGGUAUAAAAAAAAAUGCAAUGCUAUCAAUUCAACAGCAUUUAACAGUUUCUUUUCCCAGUUUUUUCACUUUUCUUCCAUGGUGUCAAUUGAAAAUAGACAUCAAUGCAUGAAUUCAGAGAAAAAUGUUUCAUGCACUUGUAUACAUCAUAUUAUUGUUUUGCAAUGCAGAACUGGAUGCAUUGGAGGCAGACAUGGGAAUGGAAACUGAAUCUGAUGGUGUACCUUCUUAUCUCCAACCUGAUAAGGAACCUGAUCUGGAAUCAGAAAUCAACUUGCCCUCGGCACCAAUAGGACAUGCAGCAG
This 483-nucleotide unclassified non-coding RNA is filed under the name Hevea brasiliensis (rubber tree). Lineage: Eukaryota; Viridiplantae; Streptophyta; Magnoliopsida; Malpighiales; Euphorbiaceae. The record is from RNAcentral.